Molecule: unclassified non-coding RNA, 330 nt
Filed under: uncultured Glomeraceae
Lineage: Eukaryota; Fungi; Glomeromycota; Glomeromycetes; Glomerales; Glomeraceae
Description: sequence contains 18S rRNA gene
Source: RNAcentral
CCCAACUAUCCCUAUUAAUCAUUACGUCAACCCUAGAAACCAACAAAAUAGGAUCAAACGUCCUAUUUUAUUAUUCCAUGCUAAUGUAUUCAAGCGUUAGCCUGCUUUAAACACUCUAAUUUUUUCAAAGUAACAGUCCUGUUUCCCCGCAACACCAAAUUAAUGGCAUCACGGUUCUUCAAGAAGGAGGAAUCAGCGAGGCCAGUGCAUACCAUUGGCACGACCAACCUGCUGACCCCGAAAUUCAACUACGAGCUUUUUAACUGCAACAACUUUAAUAUACGCUAUUGGAGCUGGAAUUACCGCGGCUGCUGGCACCAGACUUGCCCU